GGGGAGAUAGCUCAGUGGUAAAGCACUUGCUUAGCAUGCAUGUGGCCCGGGGUUCAAUCCCCAUCACCACA
RNAcentral lists this transfer RNA (71 nucleotides) under Ictidomys tridecemlineatus (thirteen-lined ground squirrel). Its description in RNAcentral is "Spermophilus tridecemlineatus (thirteen-lined ground squirrel) tRNA". It matches the Rfam family "tRNA". From Rfam's summary of the family: Transfer RNA (tRNA) molecules are approximately 80 nucleotides in length. Their secondary structure includes four short double-helical elements and three loops (D, anti-codon, and T loops). Lineage: Eukaryota; Metazoa; Chordata; Mammalia; Rodentia; Sciuridae. The record is from Rfam by way of RNAcentral.